Molecule: long non-coding RNA, 629 nt
Organism: Ochotona princeps (American pika)
Lineage: Eukaryota; Metazoa; Chordata; Mammalia; Lagomorpha; Ochotonidae
Exons: 3
Source: RefSeq, a predicted model, not a curated record
GGGCCCCAAUUCCAGCUCUACCAGCCCCAGCCCGCCGGUCUAAUCCCAGAGCCAUCGCCAUGGAAACCAUCAGAUAAGGCCCCAGUGGCAGAUGGCCACGGAGUCCCGAGCCCCACACCGCCUGUGGUCAGCAAAGCCUUCGCCUCCCAGCCAGUGAGACCCUGGUCUUGUCCUUGAAGGGUCAGUCUGGCCCUGCAAUCCUGUCAUCUUCCCGGUUGGCAGAUUCCAUGCCCUCGCCUUCUGUCCCCUGGCUCUCAGGUCUUCACUUUGGGGCAGAUGCUUGUCCACACCUGCAUCUUGCCCAGUAAAAGUCCCAGGAGAAGGUGGAGGAGCCGAGGGAGGAGAGUGGGCGUGGGGGACCUCCAGGCUAUGGCAGCAUCCAGUGCUGGGCAGUGGAAACUGUCCAUCAUGACCUGUCCUUGGCAACGGGGCGCACCACAAACAGGUUCUGUCCUGGCUGCCACCACGGAUACCUGCUCACAACCUGCAUCUGGGCAGGCGGUGGCUGAGCCCUACCAGGCAGCGCUGCCCACUGACACCAGUGGACCAGGGUCAUCUGUGUAGAGGGGCUGGUGCUGUGGUCCAGCAGGUAAAGCCUCAAUCUUCACAUGCUUGGGUUCCUGCCCCCA